GUGCCAGCAGCCGCGGUAAUACGGAGGGUGCGAGCGUUAAUCGGAAUUACUGGGCGUAAAGGGUACGUAGGCGGCUUGAUAAGUCAGAUGUGAAAUCCCCGGGCUUAACCUGGGAACUGCAUUUGAAACUGUUGAGCUAGAGUGAGUGAGAGGUAAGUGGAAUUCAAGGCGUAGCGGUGAAAUGCGUAGAGGUCUUGAGGAACAUCAGUGGCGAAGGCGACUUACUGGCACUACACUGACGCUGAGGUACGAAAGCGUGGGGAGCGAACAGGAUUAGAUACCCUGGUAGUCCACGCCCUAAACGAUGAGGACUGGCUGUUGGUGCUAUAGACGCAUCGGUAGCGAAGCUAACGCGUUAAGUUCUCCGCCUGGGGAGUACGCCGGCAACGGUAAAACUUAAAUGAAUUGACGGGG
RNAcentral lists this ribosomal RNA (414 nucleotides) under uncultured bacterium. RNAcentral's name for it is "bacterial SSU rRNA". It matches the Rfam family "Bacterial small subunit ribosomal RNA", at positions 505 to 918 of the family's 1533-position model. The record is from RNAcentral.